UUGAACGCUGGCGGCAUGCUUUACACAUGCCAGUCGUGCGGCAGCGCGGGGGCAACCCUGGCGGCGAGCGGCGAACGGGUGAGUAAUGCAUCGGAACGUAUCCUCGAGUGGGGGAUAACCCAGCGAAAGUUGGGCUAAUACCGCAUGAGCUCUGAGGAGGAAAGCGGGGGACCUGCGAGGGCCUCGCGCUGGAGGAGCGGCCGAUGUCCGAUUAGCUAGUUGGUGGGGUAAGGCUUACCAAGGCGACGAUCGGUAGCUGGUCUGAGAGGAUGAUCAGCCACACUGGGACUGAGACACGGCCCAGACUCCUACGGGAGGCAGCAGUGGGGAAUUUUGGACAAUGGGGGCAACCCUGAUCCAGCCAUGCCGCGUGAGUGAAGAAGGCCUUCGGGUUGUAAAGCUCUUUCGGACGGAACGAAAUGGGCGGGACUAAUACUCCUGUCUGAUGACGGUACCGUAAGAAGAAGCACCGGCUAACCACGUG
This 484-nucleotide ribosomal RNA is filed under the name uncultured bacterium. RNAcentral's name for it is "partial 16S ribosomal RNA". It matches the Rfam family "Bacterial small subunit ribosomal RNA", at positions 29 to 507 of the family's 1533-position model. The record is from RNAcentral.